AUCGGACAACUCUACAUAUACCAAUAGGAGAAUUGCCAUUUAAUUUGACCUAUGGAAUAGAAGUAAUAAUCUUGCUCGAGAUUGGAUUGCUGUCAGUGAGAGUCGACCAAUAUAAUGAGCCAAGUAAUUUUGAAUGUUGAAAAGCUGACCUAGACUUACUCCAAGAAGUUCGACAGCAAGCUCAAAUUCGGAUGGCAGCAUAUUGGCAAAGAGUGGCCUGAUACUAUAAUGCAA
RNAcentral lists this long non-coding RNA (234 nucleotides) under Elaeis guineensis (African oil palm). RNAcentral's name for it is "long non-coding RNA (EGUI_LNC003178)". Lineage: Eukaryota; Viridiplantae; Streptophyta; Magnoliopsida; Arecales; Arecaceae. The record is from RNAcentral.